RNAcentral lists this ribosomal RNA (397 nucleotides) under uncultured bacterium. RNAcentral describes it as "partial 16S ribosomal RNA". It matches the Rfam family "Bacterial small subunit ribosomal RNA", at positions 523 to 918 of the family's 1533-position model. The record is from RNAcentral.
AUACGUAGGGGGCGAGCGUUGUCCGGAAUGAUUGGGCGUAAAGGGCGCGUAGGCGGCUUUGCAAGUCAGUAGUGGAAGUCCAUUUUUCAAGGAUGGAAGUGCUACAGAAACUGCGGAGCUUGAGUGCAGGAGAGGUUAUCGGAAUUCCCGGUGUAGCGGUGAAAUGCGUAGAGAUCGGGAGGAACACCAGUGGCGAAGGCGGGUAACUGGACUGCAACUGACGCUGAGGCGCGAAAGUGUGGGGAGCAAACAGGAAUAGAUACCCUGGUAGUCCACACUGUAAACGAUGAAUGCUAGGUGUAGGAGGUAUCGACCCCUUCUGUGCCGCAGUAAACACAGUAAGCAUUCCGCCUGGGGAGUAUGGUCGCAAGAUUAAAACUCAAAAGAAUUGACGGGG